AGCCAUUACUUGAAAAAUAUUCACGUGCCAAGCAUGUCAUAACGUUCAAACAUGCAGAAUGAGUUGUAACAAUGCCACAACAUACCUCACAAAUAUGCAAAACUAUAACCGUCCUCUUAAUAAGUUUUAGCCACCAUUAAUGCAUUCUAAUUUAGAGAUAUAUAGUAUGUCGUUAUUUAUUAACCGAUCUAGUUGGCAAUGGUACCACAUCACUAGUCACAUUCAUCAAUUAUUUAUUUAUAUAAAUAUUUUAUAGAAGAAGAUAAAAUAAAAUAACAAAAAUUCAAAAAUCAUGAUGCUUUUUUCAAUCUCGAUUUCCUCUCUUCACCGGUUUUACAAUUUAACCACAAAAUAAACGAGAUAUUCUAAUCACAUUUAUUUAUUAUUUAUUUAUAUACAUCAAAAAUUCAAAAUCCAUGAUGCUUUUUUCCAUCUCGAUUUUUUUUCUUUCACCUAUUUUACAUUUUAACCACCACAUGAAAAGUUUUAAUGACAUUUAUUUAUUAUUUAUUUAUAUAAAUAUUGCAUAAAAAUAAAAUAAAAGAUCAAAAAUUCCAAUCUUUCUUUUAAUAUUCAUUUAUUAUUUCUUUAUAUUAUUUUUUAUAUAAAAAUAAAAUCACAUGCUACAUUAUAGGUCCCAAUAUUAAUAGUGGCAAUAAAAACUGAUGAAGUUGGGGCUGGUUUGCUGCCUCCUGCCACCGUUUUUCAUUAAAUUCAAAGAGCAAAGGAAAAUUCCACAACCGGGCUCUAACAUUUCUCGAAUCCAUAUCUCUCCGCCGCCGUCGAUUUGAUUUUCCAUCUCUCCGCUGCCGUUGAUUUGGUUUCGAUGACCAAGUCCUCCCAUCUCUUUCCUUUUCUCAGCCCUUUCCUCCCGUCCAUUUACGAAUUUCCCAAAUCACUGCCGCGUACC
This 910-nucleotide long non-coding RNA is filed under the name Elaeis guineensis (African oil palm). Its description in RNAcentral is "long non-coding RNA (EGUI_LNC011640)". The record is from RNAcentral. Lineage: Eukaryota; Viridiplantae; Streptophyta; Magnoliopsida; Arecales; Arecaceae.